Molecule: unclassified non-coding RNA, 276 nt
Filed under: Basidiomycota sp.
Lineage: Eukaryota; Fungi; Basidiomycota
Description: partial contains small subunit ribosomal RNA, internal transcribed spacer 1, and 5.8S ribosomal RNA
Rfam family: Eukaryotic small subunit ribosomal RNA (bases 1-47)
Source: RNAcentral
AAAGUCGUAACAAGGUUUCCGUAGGUGAACCUGCGGAAGGAUCAUUAUUGAUUCUAACUGGAUGUGCUGGCAAGGUCAAUAAAUUGAUCUUGCACUGUGCACUCCAUUUAAAUCUCACCUGUGCACAUUUAUGUAGAAUGCAGCAGAGCAAUCUGCUUGCACUCUAUGUUUUUUUUCACAAACAUACUUUUAAAUAAAAUGAUAAUUGUGUAAAGGUUGGCCUAAAACCAUCCUUAUAACUCAAUACAACUUUCAACAACGGAUCUCUUGGUUCUC